Molecule: long non-coding RNA, 423 nt
Organism: Limulus polyphemus (Atlantic horseshoe crab)
Lineage: Eukaryota; Metazoa; Arthropoda; Merostomata; Xiphosura; Limulidae
Exons: 3
Source: RefSeq, a predicted model, not a curated record
AGUUUAUAAAAUAUUAUCAGCCAUCAUACUUACUUUUCUAGAAACAAUGUUUGUAGUGAUUCUCUUCUUCGAGGCUUCUUUCAGAGAUGAGAAUAAGGAUAAGUGUUUUCGCUGCUGGCAACGACUCCAGUGGUUAGAUCUGUGGAGGAAAUCUGUACUCUAUUUUGGAAUGUCGAUUCUUUGUUUUAUCAGACCGUCUACUGUAUGGUUAGCCACAGUUGCAGGUAUCGCUGCUUAAUUUAUCACAAUUUUAUCUACAACAGACUUGUACAUUCUAUUAAAAACUUUCCACAUUUCUUGCAAAUAUGCAUAGUAAAUACAGUAUUAUAAUCAACCUUCCUUCUUCAAUAUGGGAUCCAUUCAUUGGACCAACCCUGUGCACAUUUGUUUAAACUGUUGGUGUCUCUAAGAAUUUUAUCAUUA